GACGAACGCUGGCGGCGUGCCUAAUACAUGCAAGUCGAACGCUGAAGAGAGGAGCUUGCUCUUCUUGGAUGAGUUGCGAACGGGUGAGUAACGCGUAGGUAACCUGCCUUGUAGCGGGGGAUAACUAUUGGAAACGAUAGCUAAUACCGCAUAACAAUGGAUGACACAUGUCAUUUAUUUGAAAGGGGCAAUUGCUCCACUACAAGAUGGACCUGCGUUGUAUUAGCUAGUAGGUGAGGUAAUGGCUCACCUAGGCGAAGGUACAUAGCCGACCUGCGAGGGUGGUCGGCCAACCUGGGACUGAGACACGGCCCAGACUCCUACGGGAGGCAGCAGUAGGGAAACUUCGGCAAUGGGGGCAACCCUGACCGGGCAACGCCGCGGGAGUGAAGAAGGGUGUCGGAUCGUAAAGCUCUGUUGUAAGUCAAGAACGGGUGUGAGAGUGGAAAGUUCACACUGUGACGGUAGCUUACCAGAAAGGGACGGCUAACUACGUG
This 497-nucleotide ribosomal RNA is filed under the name uncultured bacterium. RNAcentral describes it as "partial 16S ribosomal RNA". It matches the Rfam family "Bacterial small subunit ribosomal RNA", at positions 28 to 507 of the family's 1533-position model. The record is from RNAcentral.